Ipomoea nil (Japanese morning glory) is the source of this 73-nucleotide transfer RNA. It matches the Rfam family "tRNA". Rfam says of the family: Transfer RNA (tRNA) molecules are approximately 80 nucleotides in length. NCBI's taxonomy places the organism in Eukaryota, Viridiplantae, Streptophyta, Magnoliopsida, Solanales, Convolvulaceae. The record is from Rfam.
GGAGAUGUAGCUCAUAUGGUAGAGCGCUCGCUUUGUAUGCGAGAGGUACGGGGAAUGCUACCCUGCAUCUCCA